AAAAAAUACAAAGUUUGUGCGAAAAAACAUAAAACCAAAUGGAUUAUAAUGCAUAUCAACCUCAUACCGGGAAACUACGCCAUCGCACGAGCAGAUGUGGUAGAACAGCGAAAAAACGGUUGCCAAGGAACAUGCAGCAACAUCGAAAUCUGUGAAGAGUCAUUGGUGGAAG
Molecule: long non-coding RNA, 172 nt
Organism: Armigeres subalbatus
Lineage: Eukaryota; Metazoa; Arthropoda; Insecta; Diptera; Culicidae
Exons: 3
Source: RefSeq, a predicted model, not a curated record